UACGUAGGGGGCUAGCGUUGUCCGGAAUUAUUGGGCGUAAAGAGCUCGUAGGCGGUUCGUCGCGUCGGCUGUGAAAUCCCGAGGCUCAACCUCGGGUCUGCAGUCGAUACGGGCGGACUGGAGUUCGGCAGGGGAGACUGGAAUUCCUGGUGUAGCGGUGAAAUGCGCAGAUAUCAGGAGGAACACCGGUGGCGAAGGCGGGUCUCUGGGCCGAUACUGACGCUGAGGAGCGAAAGCGUGGGGAGCAAACAGG
Molecule: ribosomal RNA, 253 nt
Filed under: uncultured bacterium
Lineage: Bacteria
Description: partial 16S ribosomal RNA
Rfam family: Bacterial small subunit ribosomal RNA
Source: RNAcentral